CCAAUAGCGUAUAUUAAAGUUGUUGCAGUUAAAAAGCUCGUAGUUGAAUUUCGGGGUCAGUAGGUUGGUCAUGCCACUGGUAUGUACUGAUCUUACUGAUUCCUCCUUCCUGAUGAACCGUAAUGCCAUUAAUUUGGUGUUGCGGGGAGACUGGACUGUUACUUUGAAAAAAUUAGAGUGUUUAAAGCAGGCUAACGCUUGAAUACAUUAGCAUGGAAUAAUGAAAUAGGACGUUCGAUCCUAUUUUGUUGGUUUCUAGGAUUGACGUAAUGAUUAAUAGGGAUAGUUGGGGGCAUUAGUAUUCAAUUGUCAGAGGUGAAAUUCUUGGAUUUAUUGAAGACUAACUACUGCGAAAGCAUUUGCCAAGGAUGUUUUCAUUAAUCAAGAACGAAAGUUAGGGGAUCGAAGACGAUCAGAUACCGUCGUAGUCUUAACCAUAAACUGUGCCGACUAGGGAUCGGAUGAUGUUGAUUUUUUAAUGACUCAUUCGGCGCCUUACG
Molecule: ribosomal RNA, 500 nt
Filed under: uncultured Glomeromycotina
Lineage: Eukaryota; Fungi; Glomeromycota
Description: partial small subunit ribosomal RNA
Rfam family: Eukaryotic small subunit ribosomal RNA
Source: RNAcentral